AUAAAAGUCAAAUACGAUUUUGUAAUAUAGUCGAAAUAAAUUGGAUAGUCGUAAGCCAAAUUAUCGGACACCAAGUUGGAUUUGACCACAUAUUAGCGACACAAAGGCAAUGUUACACGAUAGAUGACAAGAUAAAUGUUUUCAGCCUUCACGGGGAGGAAUCCACAUACAAAAGCUUACAUGAAAUCUCCAUUAAGUCUGUCAGCACAUACCACACAUUAUUUAUCGCCUUAAGAUGUGAAUAGGACUUAAUCUCCGCUUGCGCAGCCCCUGCAGCCACAGUGGACGCAUUCUAUCACUUUUUCUUCCCUCAGGUGCUUAGGGACCCUGCAGACACAGGUGGUUGCGAAAUUGUGAUCUCGUGUCUGCAUGCACCUCAGGCAGCAGAGGCGCUCGUAACCUGGCUGCACAAACUCAAGACAAGGCAUAUGUCAAAGAGUGACCGAAGCAUAUAAUAAUCAAAUGUACAAGGAAGGAGGCCACUAUCAACCAAAAGGAACCUCACAAGAAAGAAAAAAAGAAAAAGAAUAUGGUCAAAGGCAAAUAGGAAAACGUUGAAACUAAUCCCAUUCUACAAAUGCACCAUAUAUCAGCAUUAAAAAGGUUCCCUUAUGGAGUUUCAUCUUCCAAGAUACUAUUAGUCCUCCAAGAACCCUAACAGUAGCUCUAUUAUUAUUGGACAACAUCCAAAAUUUCCCCCAUGUCAAGAAAGAGUUCUAAACAUGGAAGUGAAGUAGGUGAUGGUAUGCAAAUUUAACUUGCAGUACCAGUGCAACAAGCAGGUGAUAUCGAUGGCCAUGCAUGUCAAAAUUGAGAUGGAGAUAGGAUCCACCCCUUCAGGUACCUCUAUCAGUCAAUUAUAUUGACAACCUCUUCCGUGUGUCGUUCAUAAUUUUCUAUCCUGUCCAACUACAAACAUCAUGUAUCCAUGAUACAAGCCAAACAAAUAAAGAUGUAAAAAAUGUUGGCGAUGUCUCUGUUAAUACACGAUACUGACCACCUCAUCAUGUUUCUAGCAUAUAAUGGAUUGCCACAAAUGCAACCACAAAGCCCAUCAACAAGCAUUACACCUUCUCUUAUCAGUAAAUUAAAAACAGUAUUAAGUGUUUCCUAGAGUGUUCACACCUAUAACUGCUUAUUGGUAUAUAACUCAUCCCGUAUAGUCAGGACUUUGACCAAAACCUAGUAGUGUGUUCAUGCUAUAAUAUUAAGUAUGCCAGAGCAUAUUCAUGCCCAUAAUUAGUUAUUAGCAUAUACUCAGGUUUUUUAUCACCACCAAGGUAUUCACCAGUAAAUUUGUUGUGGUUUUUCAUAAAAUAACAACAUCCAGAAUCCAGAUAAACAGGACUUAUAGCUACCAUCAUAUAUUCAUGUAGUGAUCUAGGACCAAUUCAUAAGUCCCCCUUUUCCUAAAAAGCUAAAUGGAAAAUUAAUACAAGGGAACAAAAAACAAGGACAGGAAAUUAUUGACCAAACUUUCAUGAAUCAUUGAAAUUUCUUACAAUUGUGAGAUAUAGAAGGAAACAACCCCAGACGACGGGACGAGUUAAUUACAAGAGAACAGCAUGGGUAUUGUCACUUGAAAAAAAGAAAACUUAAAAAUAUAGGAAGCAUUUUGAAUAAUGAAAGCAUCACCAACCUUUUUCCACUUCGCAAUUAAAUUACGGUCUGCAUAGCCCUGAUCCAGGCAGAAUUCAUAUAGUUCCUUCGAAAUUUCCUUCCUCCGAUGAUAAAGAUCAUAUAUAUAACGGCUCUUUUGAUGAG
RNAcentral lists this long non-coding RNA (1764 nucleotides) under Musa acuminata (dwarf banana). RNAcentral's name for it is "long non-coding RNA (MACU_LNC004372)". Lineage: Eukaryota; Viridiplantae; Streptophyta; Magnoliopsida; Zingiberales; Musaceae. The record is from RNAcentral.